Molecule: non-coding RNA, 72 nt
Organism: Phrynosoma platyrhinos (Desert horned lizard)
Lineage: Eukaryota; Metazoa; Chordata; Lepidosauria; Squamata; Phrynosomatidae
Source: the annotation of a GenBank genome assembly
GCCAGCGUGGCGGAGUGGUUUCGGUGCUGGACCACGACUCUGGAGACCAGGGUUCGAAUCCUGGCUCAGUCA